RNAcentral lists this small RNA (33 nucleotides) under Arabidopsis thaliana (thale cress). RNAcentral's name for it is "ATSL146810". Lineage: Eukaryota; Viridiplantae; Streptophyta; Magnoliopsida; Brassicales; Brassicaceae. The record is from RNAcentral.
AUACAAACUCUCUUGUUCUUCAUAACUCUCUUA